ACGAACGCUGGCGGCGUGCCUAAUACAUGCAAGUCGAACGCUUCUUUCCUCCCGAGUGCUUGCACUCAAUUGGAAAGAGGAGUGGCGGACGGGUGAGUAACACGUGGGUAACCUACCCAUCAGAGGGGGAUAACACUUGGAAACAGGUGCUAAUACCGCAUAACAGUUUAUGCCGCAUGGCAUAAGAGUGAAGGGCGCUUUCGGGUGUCGCUGAUGGAUGGACCCGCGGUGCAUUAGCUAGUUGGUGAGGUAACGGCUCACCAAGGCCACGAUGCAUAGCCGACCUGGGGGGGUGGUCGGCCCAACUGGGACUGAGACACGGCCCAGACUCCUACGGGAGGCAGCAGUAGGGAAUCUUCGGCAAUGGACGAAAGUCUGACCGAGCAACGCCGCGUGAGUGAAGAAGGUUUUCGGAUCGUAAAACUCUGUUGUUAGAGAAGAACAAGGACGUUAGUAACUGAACGUCCCCUGACGGUAUCUAACCAGAAAGCCACGGCUAACUACGUG
Molecule: ribosomal RNA, 507 nt
Filed under: uncultured bacterium
Lineage: Bacteria
Description: partial 16S ribosomal RNA
Rfam family: Bacterial small subunit ribosomal RNA
Source: RNAcentral